RNAcentral lists this ribosomal RNA (500 nucleotides) under uncultured Glomeromycotina. RNAcentral describes it as "partial small subunit ribosomal RNA". It matches the Rfam family "Eukaryotic small subunit ribosomal RNA", at positions 591 to 1092 of the family's 1831-position model. Lineage: Eukaryota; Fungi; Glomeromycota. The record is from RNAcentral.
CCAAUAGCGUAUAUUAAAGUUGUUGCAGUUAAAAAGCUCGUAGUUGAAUUUCGGGAUCAAUAUAUCGGUCGUGCCUUCGGUACGUACUGGUAUCGUUGAUUUCUACCUUCUGACGAACCAUGAUGUCAUUAAUUUGGUGUCAUGGGAAAUCAGGACUGUUACUUUGAAAAAAUUAGAGUGUUUAAAGCAGGCACACGCUUGAAUACAUUAGCAUGGAAUAAUGAAAUAGGACGUUUGACCCUAUUUUGUUGGUUUCUAGGAUCGACGUAAUGAUUAAUAGGGAUAGUUGGGGGCAUUAGUAUUCAAUUGUCAGAGGUGAAAUUCUUGGAUUUAUUGAAGACUAAAUACUGCGAAAGCAUUUGCCAAGGAUGUUUUCAUUAAUCAAGAACGAAAGUUAGGGGAUCGAAGACGAUCAGAUACCGUCGUAGUCUUAACCAUAAACUAUGCCGACUAGGGAUCGGAUGAUGUUAAUUUUUUAAUGACUCAUUCGGCGCCUUACG